AUUGAACGCUGGCGGCAUGCUUUACACAUGCAAGUCGAACGGCAGCGCGGGCUUCGGCCUGGCGGCGAGUGGCGAACGGGUGAGUAAUGCAUCGGAACGUGCCCAGUAGUGGGGGAUAGCCCGGCGAAAGCCGGAUUAAUACCGCAUACGACCUGAGGGUGAAAGCGGGGGACCGAAAGGCCUCGCGCUAUUGGAGCGGCCGAGGUCGGUUUAGCUAGUUGGUGGGGUAAAGGCUUACCAAGGCGACGAUCCGUAGCUGGUCUGAGAGGACGACCAGCCACACUGGGACUGAGACACGGCCCAGACUCCUACGGGAGGCAGCAGUGGGGAAUUUUGGACAAUGGGGGCAACCCUGAUCCAGCCAUGCCGCGUGCGGGAAGAAGGCCUUCGGGUUGUAAACCGCUUUUGUUCGGGAAGAAAUCCUCUGGGCUAAUACCCCGGGGGGAUGACGGUACCGGAAGAAUAAGCACCGGCUAACUACGUG
This 484-nucleotide ribosomal RNA is filed under the name uncultured bacterium. RNAcentral describes it as "partial 16S ribosomal RNA". It matches the Rfam family "Bacterial small subunit ribosomal RNA", at positions 28 to 507 of the family's 1533-position model. The record is from RNAcentral.